Molecule: ribosomal RNA, 355 nt
Filed under: uncultured eukaryote
Lineage: Eukaryota
Description: SSU rRNA
Rfam family: Eukaryotic small subunit ribosomal RNA
Source: RNAcentral
AGCUCCAAUAGCGUAUAUUAAAGUUGUUGCAGUUAAAACGCUCGUAGUCGGGUGGAUGGGGUGGCUGUCUGGUUGGGUGGAAAUCCAUACUGGACAGCAGUCCUAUUUUGGGGGGGAUAGAAUAAUGAUUCUGCACUCCCCGCGUUACUGUGAGGAAAUUAGAGUGUUUAAGGCAGGCAGUUGCUUGAAUACGUUAGCAUGGAAUAACAAGACAGGGAUGCUUGGUCUUGUUGGUUAGACGAAACAUCAGAUUGAUAGGGCCAGUCGGGGGCAUUGGUAUUUGGCAGUCAGAGGUGAAAUUCUUGGAUUUGCCAAAGACCAGCGGGGGCGAAAGCAUUUGCCAAGGAUGGUUUCG